AGGAGUCAGCUUGUCGGUUCAUG
Molecule: microRNA, 23 nt
Filed under: Mus musculus (house mouse)
Lineage: Eukaryota; Metazoa; Chordata; Mammalia; Rodentia; Muridae
Description: mmu-miR-7659-3p
Source: miRBase by way of RNAcentral